AUACGGAGGGUGCAAGCGUUGUUCGGAUUCACUGGGUAUAAAGGGUGCGCAGGCGGUCUGAUAAGUCAGAGGUGAAAUAUGUCGGCUCAACCGGCAAACGGCCCCUGAAACUGUCAGACUUGAGUCCGGGAGAGGUAGGUGGAAUUCCAGGUGUAGCGGUGAAAUGCGUAAAUAUCUGGAGGAACACCGGUGGCGAAGGCGGCCUACUGGCCCGGAACUGACGCUCAGGCACGAAAGCAUGGGGAGCGAACGGGAUUAGAAACCCGAGUAGUCC
Molecule: ribosomal RNA, 274 nt
Filed under: uncultured bacterium
Lineage: Bacteria
Description: partial 16S ribosomal RNA
Rfam family: Bacterial small subunit ribosomal RNA
Source: RNAcentral